Molecule: ribosomal RNA, 437 nt
Filed under: uncultured Ethanoligenens sp.
Lineage: Bacteria; Bacillati; Bacillota; Clostridia; Eubacteriales; Oscillospiraceae
Description: partial 16S ribosomal RNA
Rfam family: Bacterial small subunit ribosomal RNA
Source: RNAcentral
ACGGGAGGCAGCAGUGGGGGAUAUUGCACAAUGGAGGAAACUCUGAUGCAGCAACGCCGCGUGAGGGAAGAAGGUCUUCGGAUUGUAAACCUCUGUUUUUAGUGGCGAAACAAAUGACGGUAGCUAAAGAGGAAGCCACGGCUAACUACGUGCCAGCAGCCGCGAUAAUACGUAGGUGGCAAGCGUUGUCCGGAUUUACUGGGUGUAAAGGGUGCGCAGGCGGGACUGCAAGUUGGAUGCGAAAUACCGGGGCUUAACCCCGGAGCUGCAUCCAAAACUGUGGUUCUUGAGUGGAGUAGAGAUAAGCGGAAAUCCGAGUGUAGCGGUGAAAUGCGUAGAUAUUCGGAGGAACACCAGUGGCGAAGGCGGCUUACUGGGCUCUAACUGACGCUGAGGCACGAAAGCAUGGGUAGCAAACAGGAUUAGAUACCCUGGUA